AGAAGUUGUCCAGGGCUCCCUGAGGGAGGCCAGCACAAGAGCUCUGCCAUAAAAGGACAUUGGACAGAAGUGAAGAGUCCAAUCAGAAACUCUUUUUGAGAGACUGAACGCAAAGCAUUCAGAGAGUCAGCAGGCUGGAGAGGCCAAGACACACACACGAAGAAGGCAAUUGAGAGCUGUACUAGCCUGGCAUGCAGACAGCAGCUUUAGAAUCAGAUCUGCCUUCUGGCGGCUUCCCACCUAGGAGCCAUGGGACCUUUGUGAAGUCACCAAUUGUGCUGUGGAUGCUUCAUUUGUGAAGGAGAACAGGACUGCCUUAUGAGGAAACUGAGGUACAGAUGGGAAACUUGCUCAAGUUCACACAGCAAUUAAGUGAUCAAGUCCAAGAGCAAAACCAGGCAGGCUGGCUCCAGAGCUCACGAUAGUCCACCACUGCUUUCCACCAUCACUACGGAAUCAAGUCCAUGAGGAUACUCACCUUAUGUCAGUUGCCUAAGUUGGAAAUUAUAGAAUCUUCAAAUUGGAAGGGACGUUAUCAUCCAAGAUUUCAACUUUCUACUCACUGCAAAAUCCCUUCUGGAACUUCCCAGAUUGAUGAAUUUUCAUCAGCUCUGCUUGAGUACUCCCAGUGACUUGGAAAAAAAACACUGUAAUAUGGAUAUGAAAUAUAAACUGUUCAUGGAUAAAUUAUUGCAUAAUAAAAACAUGCCUAAUGGCUACACUCCCCUAA
RNAcentral lists this long non-coding RNA (730 nucleotides) under Homo sapiens (human). RNAcentral's name for it is "PREDICTED lncRNA (TCONS_00208729)". Lineage: Eukaryota; Metazoa; Chordata; Mammalia; Primates; Hominidae. The record is from RNAcentral.